This is a small nucleolar RNA of Ornithorhynchus anatinus (platypus), 137 nucleotides long. NCBI's taxonomy places the organism in Eukaryota, Metazoa, Chordata, Mammalia, Monotremata, Ornithorhynchidae. The record is from RefSeq and is a predicted model, not a curated record.
CCCCUCUUAGGAUGGCACCUGCAGAGUUUCCAGUCCUCUACCAGUCUCCGCUACAGGAGGGAGAGUCAAGCAGACACAUACUCAUUCCAUUCCUAGCUUGGGCAGUGGCUAGCGAGUGGAAGAUAUCUGCUACAAGU